GUGCCUUUAACUCAGUGGUAGAGUACGGUCCUCAUAAGGCUAGAGUCGUCAGUUCAAAUCUGACAAGGCGCA
This 72-nucleotide transfer RNA is filed under the name Vibrio phage 1.122.A._10N.286.46.F8. RNAcentral's name for it is "tRNA-Met". It matches the Rfam family "tRNA". Rfam says of the family: Transfer RNA (tRNA) molecules are approximately 80 nucleotides in length. Their secondary structure includes four short double-helical elements and three loops (D, anti-codon, and T loops). Further hydrogen bonds mediate the characteristic L-shaped molecular structure. tRNAs have two regions of fundamental functional importance: the anti-codon, which is responsible for specific mRNA codon recognition, and the 3' end, to which the tRNAs corresponding amino acid is attached (by aminoacyl-tRNA synthetases). tRNAs cope with the degeneracy of the genetic code in two manners: having more than one tRNA (with a specific anti-codon) for a particular amino acid; and 'wobble' base-pairing, i.e. permitting non-standard base-pairing at the 3rd anti-codon position. RNAcentral also lists the same sequence under 1 other name. The record is from RNAcentral. Lineage: Duplodnaviria; Heunggongvirae; Uroviricota; Caudoviricetes.